This 406-nucleotide ribosomal RNA is filed under the name uncultured bacterium. RNAcentral describes it as "partial 16S ribosomal RNA". It matches the Rfam family "Bacterial small subunit ribosomal RNA", at positions 30 to 526 of the family's 1533-position model. The record is from RNAcentral.
AUUGAACGCUGGCGGCAUGCCUAACACAUGCAAGUCGAGCGAGCGGCGGACGGGUGAGUAAUGUCUGGGAAACUUCCUGCUUGAUGGGGAUCACUACUUGAAACGGUAUCUAAUACCGCCUUCCAUGGGAUGUGCCCAGAUGGGAUUAGCUGGUGGGUGGGGUAACGGCCCACCUAGGCUACGAGCCCUAGCUGGUCUGAGAGGAUGACCAGCAACACUGGAACGGGGAUAAGGUCCAGACUCCUAAGGGAGGCAGCAGUGGGGAAUAUUGCACAAGGGGCGCAAGCGGGAUGCAGCCAUGCCGCGUGAGUGAAGAAGGCCUUCGGGUUGUAAAGCAUUAUCAGCGGGGAGGCGUUACCUGCCGAAGAAGCACCGGCUAACUCCGUGCCAGCAGCCGCGGUAAUAC